GGAGUGGGCCAGACGACCGCCGCGGAGCAAUCCGGGGAGGAAAGUCCGGGCUCCACAGGGCAAGGCGCCGGCUAACGGCCGGGAGGCGUGAGCCUACGGAAAGUGCCACAGAAAAUAUACCGCCAAAGCGCGUAAGCGCCGGUAAGGGUGAAAAGGUGCGGUAAGAGCGCACCGCAUUUCCGGCGACGGGAAUGGCAGGGAAAACCCCGCCUGGAGCAAGACCAAAUAGGCGUGCGAUACCGUGGCCCGCGGUGCAUGCGGGUAGGUUGCUGGAGCCUGCGCGUAAGUUCAGGCCUAGAGGAAUGGUCGUCCACGACAGAACCCGGCUUAUCGGCCCACUCCAAUU
This is a non-coding RNA of Acidithiobacillus ferrooxidans ATCC 23270, 346 nucleotides long. It matches the Rfam family "Bacterial RNase P class A". Rfam says of the family: Ribonuclease P (RNase P) is a ubiquitous endoribonuclease, found in archaea, bacteria and eukarya as well as chloroplasts and mitochondria. The record is from Rfam. NCBI's taxonomy places the organism in Bacteria, Pseudomonadati, Pseudomonadota, Acidithiobacillia, Acidithiobacillales, Acidithiobacillaceae.